RNAcentral lists this ribosomal RNA (300 nucleotides) under uncultured bacterium. RNAcentral's name for it is "bacterial SSU rRNA". It matches the Rfam family "Bacterial small subunit ribosomal RNA", at positions 1079 to 1382 of the family's 1533-position model. The record is from RNAcentral.
GUUAAGUCCCGCAACGAGCGCAACCCUUACUUUUAGUUGCCAUCAUUUAGUUGGGCACUCUGAAAGAACUGCCAGUGAUAAGCUGGAGGAAGGUGGGGAUGACGUCAAGUCCUCAUGGCCCUUACGUGUUGGGCUACACACGUGCUACAAUGGUAUUCACAACAGGAAGCAAGACGGCAACGUUUAGCAAAUCCUAAAAAAUACCUCAGUUCGGAUUGCACUCUGCAACUCGAGUGCAUGAAGCUGGAAUUACUAGUAAUCGUGGAUCAGCGUGCCACGGUGAAUGCGUUCCCGGGUCUU